UGUUGAUUUCAGUCAGAUGGAACUAUUUCACUUUCUGAAGCAAACUGAAUUUUCAAAAAGUGUCACAACAAAUUGAAGAAUACUUUUUUUUUUUUUUUUCCCCAAGGUAUAGCAGGGAAGGGAAUUCUUCCUCAAAUGAAAAACGAAGGAAUAAAAGAAGCUGUUUUAUCAUGAGAUUUCAGCAGUCUCCCAGCUCAUCACUGAAGGAUGUUCCACUUUGAUGUUCACAGGAUAAUGACUGAGAAAAGAGAGAAACUCACUCUGAUUUGAUACUCAUAUUGACUGAAGGGCCUGAAAAACAGUAUUCCAAGCAGC
This 315-nucleotide long non-coding RNA is filed under the name Columba livia (rock pigeon). Its description in RNAcentral is "partial uncharacterized LOC106145685". Lineage: Eukaryota; Metazoa; Chordata; Aves; Columbiformes; Columbidae. The record is from RNAcentral.